AUGGCCGCUGCUGGUGCUGAGAAGCUGCACGUUCUGGUGGCGUGUGCCUUGCUGCUGCUCCUUGCUGUGGGGUGCCAGGCCAGCCCUCUGCAGAUCGGGUUCUACCGCGACAGGUGCCCCCAGGCGGAGGCCGUCGUCAAGGGCGUGAUGAUGGACGCCAUCUCCCAGAACCCCGGCAAUGGCGCCGCCAUGAUCCGCAUGCUCUUCCACGACUGCUUCGUUGAGGCUGUGACGCUUCGGUCCUCCUGGACCCGACCCCGUUCAGCCCGACGCCGGAGAAGCUCAGCGCGCCCAACAAUCCCUCCCUGCGUGGCUUCGAGCUGA
Molecule: ribosomal RNA, 324 nt
Filed under: Triticum aestivum (bread wheat)
Lineage: Eukaryota; Viridiplantae; Streptophyta; Magnoliopsida; Poales; Poaceae
Description: partial small subunit ribosomal RNA
Source: RNAcentral